RNAcentral lists this ribosomal RNA (254 nucleotides) under uncultured bacterium. Its description in RNAcentral is "partial 16S ribosomal RNA". It matches the Rfam family "Bacterial small subunit ribosomal RNA", at positions 524 to 776 of the family's 1533-position model. The record is from RNAcentral.
UACGUAGGGCGCAAGCGUUGUCCGGAAUUAUUGGGCGUAAAGAGCUCGUAGGCGGUUCGGCAAGUCACGUGUGAAAUCUCCACGCUCAACGUGGAGGCGCCACGUGAGACUGCUGUGACUCGAGUCCGGUAGGGGAGCGUGGAAUUCCCGGUGUAGCGGUGAAAUGCGCAGAGAUCGGGAGGAACACCCGUAGCGAAGGCGGCGCUCUGGGCCGGUACUGACGCUGAGGAGCGAAAGCGUGGGGAGCAAACAGG